This 84-nucleotide microRNA precursor is filed under the name Bombyx mori (domestic silkworm). RNAcentral's name for it is "mir-2807 microRNA precursor family". It matches the Rfam family "mir-2807 microRNA precursor family". The record is from Rfam by way of RNAcentral. Lineage: Eukaryota; Metazoa; Arthropoda; Insecta; Lepidoptera; Bombycidae.
UUAACUCAAAUUUGUAUGGAGAUUGAGCGUUUACAUACGUUUGCCGCUAGGGGCGCUGUUCCAACUGCGUUCAAAUUUGAGUUA